CACUGGUGAGAGACCUUUUUCAUGUGAAACAUGUGGAAAAAGUUUCUGUCGAAUUAGUGAUUUGAAAGUCCACAAGAAAAUUCAUACAGAUCAAAGACCUUUUUCAUGCAAAUCAUGUGGAAAAAAUUUCUCUCGAAUUAGUAAUUUAAAUAUCCACAACAGAAUUCAUACAGGUGAGAGACAAUUUUCAUGCAAGUCAUGCGGAAAAAGUUUCUCUCGAUUUAGUAAGUUAAAUGUCCACAAGAGAAUUCAUACAGGUGAGAGGCCUUUUUCUUGCGAAUCAUGCGGAAAAAGUUUCCGUGGAAUUAGUCACUUAAAUAUCCACAAGAGAAUUCAUACAGGUGAGAAAAGUUUUUCAUGCGAAUCAUGCGGAAAAAGUUUCUCACGAAAUACAGAUUUAAAUGUCCACAGGAGAAUUCAUACAGGUGAGAGGCCUUUUCCAUGCAAAGCAUGUGGAAAACGUUUCUCACGAGUGGGUAAUUUAUAUCGUCACAUGAAAACUCAUACAGGUCAGGGGCCACUUUGAAGUCAAACAAGAAAUAAUUUUAAGAAUCCGUUUUAUGUAUUAUUUGAGUCUGGAGGAUCUUUUAUUUUGAUCAGAUGUCUUUGGAAAGUUUAUUUGUGAAGGGCUCUCGUUUGGCUCGAGAGCCUUGCCAGCCCUGUUGCCACCCCAGCUAGCAAUAGUGAAUUCAAUAAAUAGUUAUGGCAAAUCGGA
This is a long non-coding RNA of Poecilia latipinna (sailfin molly), 715 nucleotides long. RefSeq lists it as uncharacterized. The transcript has 2 exons. NCBI's taxonomy places the organism in Eukaryota, Metazoa, Chordata, Actinopteri, Cyprinodontiformes, Poeciliidae. The record is from RefSeq and is a predicted model, not a curated record.